AGAGACAGCAGUAGCCGCGGGAAUACAGAGGGUGCGAGCGUUAAUCGGAUUUACUGGGCGUAAAGCGUGCGUAGGCGGCUUCUUAAGUCGGAUGUGAAAUCCCUGAGCUUAACUUAGGAAUUGCAUUCGAUACUGGGAAGCUAGAGUAUGGGAGAGGAUGUAGAAUUCCAGGUGUAGCGGUGAAAUGCGUAGAGAUCUGGAGGAAUACCGAUGGCGAAGGCAGCCAUCUGGCCUAAUACUGACGCUGAGGUACGAAAGCAUGGGGAGCAAACAGGAUUAGAUACCCCGGUAGUCCCUGUCUCUUAUACA
Molecule: ribosomal RNA, 309 nt
Filed under: uncultured bacterium
Lineage: Bacteria
Description: partial 16S ribosomal RNA
Rfam family: Bacterial small subunit ribosomal RNA
Source: RNAcentral